UUGGAUUGGCUGUUGACUUCGAC
RNAcentral lists this non-coding RNA (23 nucleotides) under Arabidopsis thaliana (thale cress). The record is from RNAcentral. Lineage: Eukaryota; Viridiplantae; Streptophyta; Magnoliopsida; Brassicales; Brassicaceae.